RNAcentral lists this ribosomal RNA (640 nucleotides) under Staphylococcus aureus. RNAcentral describes it as "partial 23S ribosomal RNA". It matches the Rfam family "Bacterial large subunit ribosomal RNA", at positions 1603 to 2244 of the family's 2925-position model. The record is from RNAcentral. Lineage: Bacteria; Bacillati; Bacillota; Bacilli; Caryophanales; Staphylococcaceae.
CACUGCCGAGAAAAGCCUCUAGAUAGAAAAUAGGUGCCCGUACCGCAAACCGACACAGGUAGUCAAGAUGAGAAUUCUAAGGUGAGCGAGCGAACUCUCGUUAAGGAACUCGGCAAAAUGACCCCGUAACUUCGGGAGAAGGGGUGCUCUUUAGGGUUAACGCCCAGAAGAGCCGCAGUGAAUAGGCCCAAGCGACUGUUUAUCAAAAACACAGGUCUCUGCUAAACCGUAAGGUGAUGUAUAGGGGCUGACGCCUGCCCGGUGCUGGAAGGUUAAGAGGAGUGGUUAGCUUCUGCGAAGCUACGAAUCGAAGCCCCAGUAAACGGCGGCCGUAACUAUAACGGUCCUAAGGUAGCGAAAUUCCUUGUCGGGUAAGUUCCGACCCGCACGAAAGGCGUAACGAUUUGGGCACUGUCUCAACGAGAGACUCGGUGAAAUCAUAGUACCUGUGAAGAUGCAGGUUACCCGCGACAGGACGGAAAGACCCCGUGGAGCUUUACUGUAGCCUGAUAUUGAAAUUCGGCACAGCUUGUACAGGAUAGGUAGGAGCCUUUGAAACGUGAGCGCUAGCUUACGUGGAGGCGCUGGUGGGAUACUACCCUAGCUGUGUUGGCUUUCUAACCCGCACCACUUAUCGUGG